AUGGCUCAGAUUGAACGCUGGCGGCAUGCCUUACACAUGCAAGUCGAACGGCAGCACGGGAGCAAUCCUGGUGGCGAGUGGCGAACGGGUGAGUAAUAUAUCGGAACGUGCCCAGUCGUGGGGGAUAACGUAGCGAAAGCUACGCUAAUACCGCAUACGUCCUACGGGAGAAAGCGGGGGAUCUUCGGACCUCGCGCCAUUAGAUGAGCCUAGGUCGGAUUAGCUAGUUGGUGAGGUAAUGGCUCACCAAGGCGACGAUCCGUAACUGGUCUGAGAGGAUGAUCAGUCACACUGGAACUGAGACACGGUCCAGACUCCUACGGGAGGCAGCAGUGGGGAAUAUUGGACAAUGGGCGAAAGCCUGAUCCAGCCAUGCCGCGUGUGUGAAGAAGGUCUUCGGAUUGUAAAGCACUUUAAGUUGGGAGGAAGGGUAGUAACCUAAUACGUUGCUACUUUGACGUUACCGACAGAAUAAGCACCGGCUAACUUCGUG
Molecule: ribosomal RNA, 493 nt
Filed under: uncultured bacterium
Lineage: Bacteria
Description: bacterial SSU rRNA
Rfam family: Bacterial small subunit ribosomal RNA
Source: RNAcentral